GGAAAGGCGCGCGAUACAGGGUGACAGCCCCGUACACAAAAAUGCACAUGCUGUGAGCUCGAUGAGUAGGGCGGGACACGUGGUAUCCUGUCUGAAUAUGGGGGGACCAUCCUCCAAGGCUAAAUACUCCUGACUGACCGAUAGUGAACCAGUACCGUGAGGGAAAGGCGAAAAGAACCCCGGCGAGGGGAGUGAAAAAGAACCUGAAACCGUGUACGUACAAGCAGUGGGAGCACGCUUAGGCGUGUGACUGCGUACCUUUUGUAUAAUGGGUCAGCGACUUAUAUUCUGUAGCAAGGUUAACCGAAUAGGGGAGCCGAAGGGAAACCGAGUCUUAACUGGGCGUUAAGUUGCAGGGUAUAGACCCGAAACCCGGUGAUCUAGCCAUGGGCAGGUUGAAGGUUGGGUAACACUAACUGGAGGACCGAACCGACUAAUGUUGAAAAAUUAGCGGAUGACUUGUGGCUGGGGGUGAAAGGCCAAUCAAACCGGGAGAUAGCUGGUUCUCCCCGAAAGCUAUUUAGGUAGCGCCUCGUGAAUUCAUCUCCGGGGGUAGAGCA
RNAcentral lists this ribosomal RNA (560 nucleotides) under Escherichia coli. RNAcentral's name for it is "partial 23S ribosomal RNA". It matches the Rfam family "Bacterial large subunit ribosomal RNA", at positions 344 to 909 of the family's 2925-position model. Lineage: Bacteria; Pseudomonadati; Pseudomonadota; Gammaproteobacteria; Enterobacterales; Enterobacteriaceae. The record is from RNAcentral.